CUUCCCCGCCCACGUCUGGGGGUUAUAUAAGGCGGAUCAGAAGUAGGAAGGACAUCUUGUCCUUCUCAGAGGCACAAAAAAGACUCUCUCUCUCUCGCCCCCAAGAUGAAGCUGAUUUCCAUGGUGAUGGCCCUAGUUGUGGCCCUGUCUGGCCUCCUGGGUUCAGCUCGUGCCAUGCCUGACCCCUUCCCCGUUGCUGACCCCGUGGCUGACCCUGACCCCGCGGCUGACCCCUGGUUCUUUAGACGCAGGUACCAUUACCCACGCUACCACCACUACCCCCGCUACCAUCACUACCACCACUGGUGAAAACGGGGAUUCCGAAAAUGUAGCACAGUUUAUUGGGUUCCGCUCAACUUACAUAUCCAUAUAUGAUUUAUGUAUUUCGACAAUCUUGCCUUCAAAAUAAAACACUGAAAGAGG
Penaeus indicus is the source of this 423-nucleotide long non-coding RNA. RefSeq lists it as uncharacterized. The transcript has 2 exons. Lineage: Eukaryota; Metazoa; Arthropoda; Malacostraca; Decapoda; Penaeidae. The record is from RefSeq and is a predicted model, not a curated record.